RNAcentral lists this long non-coding RNA (227 nucleotides) under Hordeum vulgare. RNAcentral's name for it is "long non-coding RNA (HVUL_LNC017003)". Lineage: Eukaryota; Viridiplantae; Streptophyta; Magnoliopsida; Poales; Poaceae. The record is from RNAcentral.
AACAAAAGCAACCAUAUAACAUUGUUGCUAAAUAUUAAAGUGAGACGUUCUUUGCUACACAAGUUCGCGCAUAUCACUAUAAAUAUGCUUGGGCUAGAUUUGAAUCACAUUUUCCAAGAAUAAUCACAUUAGUUAUUAUAUUUUUUUAACUUUGCCCUUUAAUAAACUUACAUAUCAAGAUCCUCCUUGUUCUAAGAAAUCUCUAAAAUGUGAAUAAUCAUAUGCCU